CGGGGCGUGGUGGAAUUGGUAGACACGCCAGACUUAGGAUCUGGUGCUUUCCGCGUGUGGGUUCGAGUCCCACCGCCCCGA
RNAcentral lists this transfer RNA (81 nucleotides) under Methanobrevibacter sp. RNAcentral's name for it is "tRNA-Leu". It matches the Rfam family "tRNA". From Rfam's summary of the family: Transfer RNA (tRNA) molecules are approximately 80 nucleotides in length. The record is from RNAcentral. Lineage: Archaea; Methanobacteriati; Methanobacteriota; Methanobacteria; Methanobacteriales; Methanobacteriaceae.